GGCUUAACACAUGCAAGUCGAGCGGAACGAUGAUAGCUUGCUAUCAGGCGUCGAGCGGCGGACGGGUGAGUAAUACUUAGGAAUCUACCUAGUAGUGGGGGAUAGCUCGGGGAAACUCGAAUUAAUACCGCAUACGUCCUACGGGAGAAAGCAGGGGAUCUUUGGACCUUGCGCUAUUAGAUGAGCCUAAGUCGGAUUAGCUAGAUGGUGGGGUAAAGGCCUACCAUGGCGACGAUCUGUAGCUGGUCUGAGAGGAUGAUCAGCCACACCGGGACUGAGACACGGCCCGGACUCCUACGGGAGGCAGCAGUGGGGAAUAUUGGACAAUGGGGGGAACCCUGAUCCAGCCAUGCCGCGUGUGUGAAGAAGGCCUUUUGGUUGUAAAGCACUUUAAGCAGUGAAGAAGACUCUUCGGUUAAUACCCGGGGACGAUGACAUUAGCUGCAGAAUAAGCACCGGCUAACUCUGUGCCAGCAGCCGCGGUAAUACAGAGGGUGCAAGCGUUAAUCGGAAUUACUGGGCGUAAAGCGAGCGUAGGUGGCUUGAUAAGUCAGAUGUGAAAUCCCCGGGCUUAACCUGGGAACUGCAUCUGAAACUGUUAGGCUAGAGUAGGUGAGAGGGAAGUAGAAUUUCAGGUGUAGCGGUGAAAUGCGUAGAGAUCUGAAGGAAUACCGAUGGCGAAGGCAGCUUCCUGGCAUCAUACUGACACUGAGGCUCGAAAGCGUGGGUAGCAAACAGGAUUAGAUACCCUGGUAGUCCACGCCGUAAACGAUGUCUACUAGUCGUUGGGUCCCUUGAGGACUUAGUGACGCAGCUAACGCAAUAAGUAGACCGCCUGGGGAGUACGGCCGCAAGGUUAAAACUCA
RNAcentral lists this ribosomal RNA (866 nucleotides) under Psychrobacter sp. K4-28-036. RNAcentral describes it as "bacterial SSU rRNA". It matches the Rfam family "Bacterial small subunit ribosomal RNA", at positions 45 to 903 of the family's 1533-position model. The record is from RNAcentral. Lineage: Bacteria; Pseudomonadati; Pseudomonadota; Gammaproteobacteria; Moraxellales; Moraxellaceae.